RNAcentral lists this ribosomal RNA (468 nucleotides) under uncultured bacterium. Its description in RNAcentral is "partial 16S ribosomal RNA". It matches the Rfam family "Bacterial small subunit ribosomal RNA", at positions 28 to 507 of the family's 1533-position model. The record is from RNAcentral.
GACGAACGCUGGCGGCGUGCUUAACACAUGCAAGUCGAACGGAAAGGCCCUGCUUUUGUGGGGUGCUCGAGCGGCGAACGGGUGAGUAACACGUGAGUAACCUGCCCUUGACUUUGGGAUAACUUCAGGAAACUGGGGCUAAUACCGGAUAGGAGCUCCUGCUGCAUGGUGGGGGUUGGAAAGUUUCGGCGGUUGGGGAUGGACUCGCGGCUUAUCAGCUUGUUGGUGGGGUAGUGGCUUACCAAGGCUUUGACGGGUAGCCGGCCUGAGAGGGUGACCGGCCACAUUGGGACUGAGAUACGGCCCAGACUCCUACGGGAGGCAGCAGUGGGGAAUAUUGCACAAUGGGCGGAAGCCUGAUGCAGCAACGCCGCGUGCGGGAUGACGGCCUUCGGGUUGUAAACCGCUUUCGCCUGUGACGAAGCGUGAGUGACGGUAAUGGGUAAAGAAGCGCCGGCUAACUACGUG